GGAAAUUGCCAUAUUAACUAUGAUUCAUGGUUACACAAGUAACUUUUAUGGCUGACAAAGAGGGAAUCUAAAACAUAUGACUGAAGUUAAACAAACAAAAGCUGUGCAGCCUUGUCUAGGAGCGACUGUGUCCUCUAAGAAAACACUUUGGAUUUUCACAGCUCUUUGAGUCCAUAUAUUGCAAUCAGCUAUGGCCACUGAGAAACUAAAUCACUUUUUCCUUGUGCUCUGGGUACGGUUACAGCAAAGGUUAUAUCUUCUUUAAUGUGCUGCCUUUGUACCUUCUCAACUGUAAGGAUCCUUUGCUUCAUCAGUGCAUUCCCUGGGUCUGGCUGCGUUUUGUUUGUGACUGACACUGCAGUUACUUUUAAGUACUCCACACUCCUCAAUGAUCAGAUGCCUUUGGAAGAGAGAACACACAAAACUUAUGUAUGAGCUACAUUCUCGUUUCUGGAGUGGUGGAUAUUGGGUGACCAGUCUGUGGUCAGGAAGAAGAAUGUUUGGAUCCUGAGUGUA
This 516-nucleotide long non-coding RNA is filed under the name Gallus gallus (chicken). Lineage: Eukaryota; Metazoa; Chordata; Aves; Galliformes; Phasianidae. The record is from RNAcentral.